GGGAAUGUGGCUUAGUGGUAGAGUGCUUGCCUAGCAUGCAUGAAGCCCUGGGUUCAAUUCUGCAGUACCA
This 70-nucleotide transfer RNA is filed under the name Dipodomys ordii (Ord's kangaroo rat). It matches the Rfam family "tRNA". From Rfam's summary of the family: Transfer RNA (tRNA) molecules are approximately 80 nucleotides in length. Lineage: Eukaryota; Metazoa; Chordata; Mammalia; Rodentia; Heteromyidae. The record is from Rfam by way of RNAcentral.